UAUAAUUUGAAUAUGCUUUGUUGAUACUGUCUGAAAAUUACCAUCUUCCUUCUAAUUGUAGAAAGAGCCAAAGGCAUACAAUGGCAGGCUUCUGUCUGUGUGGUUUCUUUUGGUACCCAUGCCAAGAAUAGAAAAAGAACCAGAAGAGGACAUACCAAAAAAGUACAUGCAGAAAAGAACGUGGAGGUGGAUUCCUGGUCUGCCUCUAAUGAAUGCUGGAUGGCUUUCUCCAAAUACAAGUCCCAGUUGAAAGAGUGUCUCCUCCAUAACGUCUCCCCUGAACCUUUGAGCCAUUUGUGACUGCCAAUUCACCAGAUGUAGUUUCACAUAUCUAAUGGAAGCAAUAAAAUGUCCUACU
RNAcentral lists this long non-coding RNA (358 nucleotides) under Rattus norvegicus (Norway rat). Its description in RNAcentral is "long non-coding RNA NONRATT033747". Lineage: Eukaryota; Metazoa; Chordata; Mammalia; Rodentia; Muridae. The record is from RNAcentral.